AUACUUACCUGGCAGGGGAGAUACCAUGAUCAUGAGGUGGUGCCCAGGGCCGAGGCUCAGCCAUUGCACUUCGGUUGUGCUGACCGAUGCCCGAAUUCCCCAAAUGUGAGUCUCAGCUGCCUCAAUUUGUGGUAGUGGAGACUCGUCCAGCUCUCCC
Small nuclear RNA from Hippoglossus stenolepis (Pacific halibut), 157 nucleotides. RefSeq annotates it as U1 spliceosomal RNA. The transcript has a single exon. The record is from RefSeq and is a predicted model, not a curated record. Lineage: Eukaryota; Metazoa; Chordata; Actinopteri; Pleuronectiformes; Pleuronectidae.